RNAcentral lists this ribosomal RNA (1552 nucleotides) under Pectobacterium parmentieri. RNAcentral's name for it is "bacterial SSU rRNA". It matches the Rfam family "Bacterial small subunit ribosomal RNA". Lineage: Bacteria; Pseudomonadati; Pseudomonadota; Gammaproteobacteria; Enterobacterales; Pectobacteriaceae. The record is from RNAcentral.
AAAUUGAAGAGUUUGAUCAUGGCUCAGAUUGAACGCUGGCGGCAGGCCUAACACAUGCAAGUCGAGCGGUAGCACAGAAGAGCUUGCUCUUCGGGUGACGAGCGGCGGACGGGUGAGUAAUGUCUGGGAAACUGCCUGAUGGAGGGGGAUAACUACUGGAAACGGUAGCUAAUACCGCAUAACGUCUUCGGACCAAAGAGGGGGACCUUCGGGCCUCUUGCCAUCGGAUGUGCCCAGAUGGGAUUAGCUAGUAGGUGAGGUAAUGGCUCACCUAGGCGACGAUCCCUAGCUGGUCUGAGAGGAUGACCAGCCACACUGGAACUGAGACACGGUCCAGACUCCUACGGGAGGCAGCAGUGGGGAAUAUUGCACAAUGGGCGCAAGCCUGAUGCAGCCAUGCCGCGUGUGUGAAGAAGGCCUUCGGGUUGUAAAGCACUUUCAGCGGGGAGGAAGGCGAUAAGGUUAAUAACCUUGUCGAUUGACGUUACCCGCAGAAGAAGCACCGGCUAACUCCGUGCCAGCAGCCGCGGUAAUACGGAGGGUGCAAGCGUUAAUCGGAAUGACUGGGCGUAAAGCGCACGCAGGCGGUCUGUUAAGUUGGAUGUGAAAUCCCCGGGCUUAACCUGGGAACUGCAUUCAAAACUGACAGGCUAGAGUCUUGUAGAGGGGGGUAGAAUUCCAGGUGUAGCGGUGAAAUGCGUAGAGAUCUGGAGGAAUACCGGUGGCGAAGGCGGCCCCCUGGACAAAGACUGACGCUCAGGUGCGAAAGCGUGGGGAGCAAACAGGAUUAGAUACCCUGGUAGUCCACGCUGUAAACGAUGUCGACUUGGAGGUUGUGCCCUUGAGGCGUGGCUUCCGGAGCUAACGCGUUAAGUCGACCGCCUGGGGAGUACGGCCGCAAGGUUAAAACUCAAAUGAAUUGACGGGGGCCCGCACAAGCGGUGGAGCAUGUGGUUUAAUUCGAUGCAACGCGAAGAACCUUACCUACUCUUGACAUCCACAGAAUUUGGUAGAGAUACCUUAGUGCCUUCGGGAACUGUGAGACAGGUGCUGCAUGGCUGUCGUCAGCUCGUGUUGUGAAAUGUUGGGUUAAGUCCCGCAACGAGCGCAACCCUUAUCCUUUGUUGCCAGCGAGUAAUGUCGGGAACUCAAAGGAGACUGCCGGUGAUAAACCGGAGGAAGGUGGGGAUGACGUCAAGUCAUCAUGGCCCUUACGAGUAGGGCUACACACGUGCUACAAUGGCGUAUACAAAGAGAAGCGACCUCGCGAGAGCAAGCGGACCUCAUAAAGUACGUCGUAGUCCGGAUUGGAGUCUGCAACUCGACUCCAUGAAGUCGGAAUCGCUAGUAAUCGUAGAUCAGAAUGCUACGGUGAAUACGUUCCCGGGCCUUGUACACACCGCCCGUCACACCAUGGGAGUGGGUUGCAAAAGAAGUAGGUAGCUUAACCUUCGGGAGGGCGCUUACCACUUUGUGAUUCAUGACUGGGGUGAAGUCGUAACAAGGUAACCGUAGGGGAACCUGCGGUUGGAUCACCUCCUUACCAAAAAGA